AUUGAACGCUGGCGGCAGGCUUAACACAUGCAAGUCGAGCGGGGGAAGGUAGCUUGCUACCGGACCUAGCGGCGGACGGGUGAGUAAUGCUUAGGAAUCUGCCUAUUAGUGGGGGACAACAUCUUGAAAGGGAUGCUAAUACCGCAUACGUCCUACGGGAGAAAGCAGGGGAUCUUCGGACCUUGCGCUAAUAGAUGAGCCUAAGUCGGAUUAGCUAGUUGGUGGGGUAAAGGCCUACCAAGGCGACGAUCUGUAGCGGGUCUGAGAGGAUGAUCCGCCACACUGGGACUGAGACACGGCCCAGACUCCUACGGGAGGCAGCAGUGGGGAAUAUUGGACAAUGGGGGAAACCCUGAUCCAGCCAUGCCGCGUGUGUGAAGAAGGCCUUAUGGUUGUAAAGCACUUUAAGCGAGGAGGAGGCUCUUUUGGUUAAUACCCAAGAUGAGUGGACGUUACUCGCAGAAUAAGCACCGGCUAACUCUGUGCCAGCAGCCGCAGUAA
Molecule: ribosomal RNA, 501 nt
Filed under: uncultured bacterium
Lineage: Bacteria
Description: partial 16S ribosomal RNA
Rfam family: Bacterial small subunit ribosomal RNA
Source: RNAcentral